UCCAUGAAACAACUUGUGAGGGGAACAUCAAGCAAACUACAUCGCUGUCUAUUGUGAAGCCACCUUGACUCCAAACUUCUCAUGACAGCGAUCAAAGGUGAACCACAGCAGAAGAUAACCAAGGACAGCUGAUACUGUAAGCCUCGGACAGUGGGAGGACUGACACUAAGCUCCUGAUGGGCAUCUGCAACCAGAAAAGCGAGAAAACGGCAUAAUCCCUUCCAUUUAAAGAGUAAUUCUGCCUGUAGAAAGACCGGAUGGCAUGAGCAAAGGAGAGCGCAACACUUCUUCAACUGGGUUGAGGAUCUGGUAUUUUUCUCGCUGAUUCCCGUGUACUGACUUGCUGCCUUGUCGUCUGCAACUGGGAGCUUUAACGUUCCACAAUUGUAUAAACGAGCUGACUUGUAAGCUAAAUAAAGUCUAUUGCAAAUA
This is a long non-coding RNA of Pseudophryne corroboree (corroboree frog), 432 nucleotides long. RefSeq lists it as uncharacterized. Lineage: Eukaryota; Metazoa; Chordata; Amphibia; Anura; Myobatrachidae. The record is from RefSeq and is a predicted model, not a curated record. The transcript has 2 exons.